AUGAAGUUACCUAUGUUAGCAUCAAGAAGUAUUAGAUCUGGGACUCUGUUGCACUUUUGUGAUGUUCUAUCAAUGGUACUUAUGAGAGACAAUGCUUUUGUAAUGAGCCUGAACUCUGAUAUGAUGCUCCAUGACAGUUGCUUUAUUACUUACCUCUGUGUUGAAUCUGCCUCGUGUAUUGUGCAAAGUUGUGGUCUUCUGCUCUGUUAUGCUGAAAGCUUGCUUGUUAUCUUGCUUGCUUGGUUUUCUUUGCCUGGUCUCUUCAAAAGAACAGUAAUAGUUAUAGACUUGACAUUAUCUGAACAUGAAUAG
Molecule: ribosomal RNA, 312 nt
Filed under: Triticum aestivum (bread wheat)
Lineage: Eukaryota; Viridiplantae; Streptophyta; Magnoliopsida; Poales; Poaceae
Description: partial small subunit ribosomal RNA
Source: RNAcentral